AGUGAACGCUGGCGGUAGGCCUAACACAUGCAAGUCGAACGGCAGCACAGUAAGAGCUUGCUCUUACGGGUGGCGAGUGGCGGACGGGUGAGGAAUACAUCGGAAUCUACUUUUUCGUGGGGGAUAACGUAGGGAAACUUACGCUAAUACCGCAUACGACCUACGGGUGAAAGCAGGGGAUCUUCGGACCUUGCGCGAUUGAAUGAGCCGAUGUCGGAUUAGCUAGUUGGCGGGGUAAAGGCCCACCAAGGCGACGAUCCGUAGCUGGUCUGAGAGGAUGAUCAGCCACACUGGAACUGAGACACGGUCCAGACUCCUACGGGAAGCAGCAGUGGGGAAUAUUGGACAAUGGGCGCAAGCCUGAUCCAGCCAUACCGCGUGGGUGAAGGAGGCCUUCGGGUUGUAAAGCCCUUUUGUUGGGAAAGAAAAGCAGCAGGUUAAUACCCCGCUGUUCUGACGGUACCCAAAGAAUAAGCACCGGCUAACUUCGUG
This 492-nucleotide ribosomal RNA is filed under the name uncultured bacterium. RNAcentral's name for it is "partial 16S ribosomal RNA". It matches the Rfam family "Bacterial small subunit ribosomal RNA", at positions 29 to 507 of the family's 1533-position model. The record is from RNAcentral.